AAAGACGGAGAUCCAGUGAACCUCCAUUCCCCUAGAAAAAAGACUCAUCAAGCGUCCAUCAAGCACAAAAAAGCACUGCUACUUGCCUUAAACAAAGGCUGAUCCAAAUAAACAUCCUCCAAACCCUAUUUUCGGUGUGGUUAAAGCAAAUUCAAUCAUCAUCGAGCAAACAAACAAAUAAAGAGAAUUUGUGGAACUCACGAGAAAAAGCAAGAAUCCAUAGAAAACAUAAAUCUGCUUGUCCAUGAGCACCUUUGCUUUCGCAUCGCUUCGUAUUCUCUGAGCUAUAUAAUCACAAAACACAGAGAAUCAUAGGCAGAUGCUUGUUUGUUGAUUAAAAACAUCAGAUCCAUAGAUGACACAAACAGGGAAACAAACUUAAAAAUAUAAAAUCAUAGAAUCACACAAGAGAAGACAGAGACUGAUACUAUAA
Molecule: long non-coding RNA, 433 nt
Filed under: Manihot esculenta (cassava)
Lineage: Eukaryota; Viridiplantae; Streptophyta; Magnoliopsida; Malpighiales; Euphorbiaceae
Description: long non-coding RNA (MESC_LNC000825)
Source: RNAcentral